Molecule: ribosomal RNA, 228 nt
Filed under: uncultured bacterium
Lineage: Bacteria
Description: partial 16S ribosomal RNA
Rfam family: Bacterial small subunit ribosomal RNA
Source: RNAcentral
UGGGCAACCUGCCCUCAGCUCUGGGAUAACUCCAAGAAAUUGGGGCUAAUACCGGAUAUGACUGCUGACCGCAUGGUCUGGUGGUGGAAAGAUUUAUCGGCUGGGGAUGGGCCCGCGGCCUAUCAGCUUGUUGGUGAGGUAAUGGCUCACCAAGGCGACGACGGGUAGCCGGCCUGAGAGGGUGACCGGCCACACUGGGACUGAGACACAGCCCAGUCUCCUAGGAGG